GCCAUCAGAUGUGCCCAGAUGGGAUUAGCUAGUAGGUGGGGUAAUGGCUCACCUAGGCGACGAUCCCUAGCUGGUCUGAGAGGAUGACCAGCCACACUGGAACUGAGACACGGUCCAGACUCCUACGGGAGGCAGCAGUGGGGAAUAUUGCACAAUGGGCGCAAGCCUGAUGCAGCCAUGCCGCGUGUGUGAAGAAGGCCUUCGGGUUGUAAAGCACUUUCAGCGGGGAGGAAGGCGGUGAGGUUAAUAACCUCACCGAUUGACGUUACCCGCAGAAGAAGCACCGGCUAACUCCGUGC
Molecule: ribosomal RNA, 299 nt
Filed under: Pseudomonas aeruginosa
Lineage: Bacteria; Pseudomonadati; Pseudomonadota; Gammaproteobacteria; Pseudomonadales; Pseudomonadaceae
Description: partial 16S ribosomal RNA
Rfam family: Bacterial small subunit ribosomal RNA
Source: RNAcentral